GUGGGGAAUCUUGCGCAAUGGGCGAAAGCCUGACGCAGCCAUGCCGCGUGAAUGAUGAAGGUCUUAGGAUUGUAAAAUUCUUUCACCGGGGACGAUAAUGACGGUACCCGGAGAAGAAGCUCCGGCUAACUUCGUGCCAGCAGCCGCGGUAAUACGAAGGGGGCUAGCGUUGCUCGGAAUUACUGGCGUAAAGGGCGCGUAGGCGGACAGCUUAGUCAGAGGUGAAAGCCCAGGGCUCAACCUUGGAAUUGCCUUUGAUACUGGCUGUCUUGAGUUUGGGAGAGGUGAGUGGAACUCCGAGUGUAGAGGUGAAAUUCGUAGAUAUUCGGAAGAACACCAGUGGCGAAGGCGACUCACUGGCCCAAUACUGACGCUGAGGCGCGAAAGCGUGGGGAGCAAACAGGAUUAGAAACCCGGGUAGUCC
Molecule: ribosomal RNA, 424 nt
Filed under: uncultured bacterium
Lineage: Bacteria
Description: partial 16S ribosomal RNA
Rfam family: Bacterial small subunit ribosomal RNA
Source: RNAcentral